RNAcentral lists this unclassified non-coding RNA (26 nucleotides) under Mus musculus (house mouse). RNAcentral's name for it is "oocyte_clustered_small_RNA11636". The record is from RNAcentral. Lineage: Eukaryota; Metazoa; Chordata; Mammalia; Rodentia; Muridae.
UACACAUCUGGCCAGGUCAACAAAAC